UAAAAAAGGUCCAAUAUUUGCCUCUGAGAUGUAGUGGAGUAGAAGUAUAAAGUUGCAUAAAAUGGAAAUACUCAUGUAAAGAACAAGUACCUUGAAUUUGUAAUUAAGUACAGUACUUGAUCACCUGCAUUAAAUCCCA
Molecule: long non-coding RNA, 139 nt
Organism: Sebastes umbrosus (honeycomb rockfish)
Lineage: Eukaryota; Metazoa; Chordata; Actinopteri; Perciformes; Sebastidae
Exons: 4
Source: RefSeq, a predicted model, not a curated record